RNAcentral lists this ribosomal RNA (448 nucleotides) under uncultured bacterium. RNAcentral's name for it is "bacterial SSU rRNA". It matches the Rfam family "Bacterial small subunit ribosomal RNA", at positions 331 to 793 of the family's 1533-position model. The record is from RNAcentral.
CCAGACUCCUACGGGAGGCAGCAGUGGGGAAUAUUGGACAAUGGGGGGAACCCUGAUCCAGCGACGCCGCGUGAGUGAAGAAGUAUUUCGGUAUGUAAAGCUCUAUCAGCAGGGAAGAAAGGAAUGACGGUACCUGACUAAGAAGCCCCGGCUAACUACGUGCCAGCAGCCGCGGUAAUACGUAGGGGGCGAGCGUUAUCCGGAUUUACUGGGUGUAAAGGGAGCGUAGACGGCUGGUCAAGUCUGAAGUGAAAGCCCGGGGCUUAACCCCGGAACGGCUUUGGAAACUGAGCAGCUAGAGUGCUGGAGAGGUAAGCGGAAUUCCUAGUGUAGCGGUGAAAUGCGUAGAUAUUAGGAGGAACACCAGUGGCGAAGGCGGCUUACUGGACAGUAACUGACGUUGAGGCUCGAAAGCGUGGGGAGCAAACAGGAUUAGAUACCCUAGUAC